UUAUAGUAUUAGAAUGGCACCCAAUACAUAGUUUGGAAUUUUUUAAAAUGUCAGCUAUUAUGAUGAUAACAAUGGUGGCUUACAAGACCUUUGACCAUCUGGCUUCCCUCUCCAAGCAUGCCAAAUUAAUCACACUUCUUAAACACAUCUCUUGACCGGGGUGUUCUCACCAUGCCCUUUCUACAAACAAAAAGUCCUACAAGAGUUGGAGCCAUCCUCUCCUCAUCUUCUACUUUCUGCCUUCUUCUGGGACACGCUAUUGAUCACGAAGUAUCUUAUCCUUGAAAAAUCUCCUCUCUUCAACUCGAGUACUACUGCAGAAAGCAGCAACUUGGCGGCCUUUUAUGGAUGGGUGUUACUGAAUAAAGAAUGAAGAUGUGGAGACCUGGAGACAGGUGGCACCUCGUGCUUCCUCCGAAGGGAGAGCCCAUUUCCUAACAGCUGGAUCAAAGGCAUGAAAUGAACAUGGAGUCCCUGAAGAUGAAGAGAAGGCAUGGCUUCCAGGGAGAAAUUGUACAUUACAGGAAUGCAGAUGUGAUUCCUAUGGAUGAGGGUAACCUAGAGGCUAGAAGAACAAUAGGACAGAAGAAGCCUGGGUCCCUGAACAA
Molecule: long non-coding RNA, 608 nt
Filed under: Homo sapiens (human)
Lineage: Eukaryota; Metazoa; Chordata; Mammalia; Primates; Hominidae
Description: HSALNT0323632
Source: RNAcentral